Molecule: ribosomal RNA, 460 nt
Filed under: uncultured bacterium
Lineage: Bacteria
Description: partial 16S ribosomal RNA
Rfam family: Bacterial small subunit ribosomal RNA
Source: RNAcentral
CCUACGGGAGGCAGCAGUGAGGAAUAUUGGUCAAUGGGCUUACGCCUGAACCAGCCAAGUCGCGUGAGGGAAGACUGCCCUAUGGGUUGUAAACCUCUUUUGUCAGGGAGCAACGCCGGCUACGUGUAGCCGGACGGAGAGGACCUGAAGAAAAAGCAGCGGCGAACUCCGUGCCAGCAGCCGCGGUAAUACGGAGGAUGCGAGCGUGAACCGGAUUUAUUGGGUUUCAAGGGUGCGUAGGCGGAAUGCCAAGUCAGCGGUAAAAUCGCGGGGCUCAACCUCGCUCCGCCGUUGCAACUGGCGUUCUUGAGUGGGCGAGAAGUAUGCGGAAUGCGUGGUGUAGCGGUGCAAUGCAUAGCUAUCACGCAGAACUCCGAUUGCGCAGGCAGCAUACCGGCGCCCAACUGACGCUGACGCACGAAAGCGUGGGUAUCGACCAGGAUUAGAUACCCUUGUAGUC